Molecule: ribosomal RNA, 212 nt
Filed under: uncultured bacterium
Lineage: Bacteria
Description: partial 16S ribosomal RNA
Rfam family: Bacterial small subunit ribosomal RNA
Source: RNAcentral
CAGUUCGGAUUGUAGUCUGCAACCCGACUACAUGAAGCUGGAAUCGCUAGUAAUCGCGGAUCAGCACGCCGCGGUGAAUACGUUCCCGGGUCUUGUACACACCGCCCGUCACACCAUGGGAGUCGGAAAUGCCCGAAGUCAGUGACCCAACCGUAAGGAGGGAGCUGCCGAAGGUGGAGCCGGUAACUGGGGUGAAGUCGUAACAAGGUAAC